CUACGUGCCAGCAGCCGCGGUCAUACGUAGGAUCCGAGCGUUAUCCGGAGUGACUGGGCGUAAAGAGUUGCGUAGGUGGUUCAAUAAGCGAAUAGUGAAAGCUGGUGGCUCAACCAUUCAGAUUAUUAUUCGAACUAUUGAACUCGAGAGCAGAAGAGGUAGCUGGAAUUUCUAGUGUAGGAGUGAAAUCCGUAGAUAUUAGAAGGAACACCGAUGGCGUAGGCAGGCUACUGGGCUGUUUCUGACACUGAGGCACGAAAGCGUGGGGAGCGAACCGGAUUAGAUACCCGGGUAGUCCACGCCGUAAACGAUGGAUACUAGCUGUUUGGGGUAUCGACCCCCUGAGUAGCGAAGCUAACGCGUUAAGUAUCCCGCCUGUGGAGUACGAUCGCAAGAUUAAAACAUAAAGGAAUUGACGGGGACCCGCACAAGCGGUGGAUCAUGUUCUUUAAUUCGAUGAUAACCGAUAAACCUUACCAGGUCUUGACAUCCU
RNAcentral lists this ribosomal RNA (493 nucleotides) under uncultured bacterium. RNAcentral describes it as "bacterial SSU rRNA". It matches the Rfam family "Bacterial small subunit ribosomal RNA", at positions 501 to 990 of the family's 1533-position model. The record is from RNAcentral.